GCGUUACUGUAGCUGCUGCUGCUGCUGCUGCUGCUGUUAACGCUAACGUGACCAUGGCCGUAAUUGAUUGCCGCCUGCCUGCUGCCGAUAGCCUAAUGAAUUGAUGGAACAGCAGCAGCAGCAGCCGACGCAACAGCAACAGCAACAGUUUCGGCAG
RNAcentral lists this small RNA (157 nucleotides) under Drosophila guanche. Lineage: Eukaryota; Metazoa; Arthropoda; Insecta; Diptera; Drosophilidae. The record is from RNAcentral.